AGUAUCAGGCUACCCAGUCCUGAAGAUUCAGUUUUCACUUAAACAACCAGCAAGUCUUGAAGUCUCUUCCCAAGCAAAUGGGAGCUUCUUUGGACCUUGGAGCACACAGAGGAUUCUACUUUCUUUAAAACUUUGUUUUCAGGCAAUUUCCCUGAGAACCGUUUACUUCCAGAAGAUUGGUGGAGCUUGAUCUGAAGGCUGGCCAUGAAAUCUCAAGGUCAACAUUGGUGUUCCAGUUCAGAUAAAAACUGUAAAGUGAGCUUUCGUGAGAAGCUUCUGAUUAUUGAUUCAAACCUGGGGGUCCAAGAUGUGGAGAACCUCAAGUUUCUCUGCAUAGGAUUGGUCCCCAACAAGAAGCUGGAGAAGUCCAGCUCAGCCUCGGAUGUUUUUGAACAUCUCUUGGCAGAGGAUCUGCUGAGUGAGGACGACCCUUUCUUCCUGGCAGAACUCCUCUAUAUCAUACGGCAGAAGAAGCUGCUGCAGCACCUCAACUAUACCAAAGAGGAAGUGGAGCGACUGCUGCCCACCCGACAACGGGUUUCUCUGUUUAGAAACCUGCUCUACGAACUGUCAGAAGGCAUUGACUCAGAGAACUUAAAGGACAUGAUCUUCCUUCUGAAAGACUCGCUUCCCAAAACUGAAAUGACCUCCCUAAGUUUCCUGGCAUUUCUAGAGAAACAAGGUAAAAUAGAUGAAGAUAAUCUGACAUGCCUGGAGGACCUCUGCACAACAGUUGUACCUAAACUUUUGAGAAACAUAGAGAAAUACAAAAGAGAGAAAGCUGUCCAGAUAGUGACACCUCCUGUAGACAAGGAAGCCGAGUCGUAUCAAGGAGAGGAAGAACUAGUUUCCCAAACAGACGUUAAGACAUUCUUGGAAGCCUUACCGCAGGAGUCCUGGCAAAAUAAGCAUGCAGGUAGUAAUGGUAACAGAGCCACAAAUGGUGCACCAAGCCUGGUCUCCAGGGGGAUGCAAGGAGCAUCUGCUAACACUCUAAACUCUGAAACCAGCACAAAGGUCUGGAUGGUUUCUUUUUUUCCUUUUUUAAUACAAAUUUUUUUUUUCCAAAUUUAAUCAAAAGGAUGGUUUCUUUAGGGGCUCUCUCCCUAGGGUCCGGCCUUCGAUGAUUUUAAGGGCUCCGAGCUGUUUGUUUCCGACUUGUUUCUCCCUCUCUCUGUAAUUAUCUCUGUUCCUCCCACCUUUUUCUGUAUCAAUCAGAAGUGAUUGAUCCCUUUGACUGUGGAGGAAAUGCUGUUGCACUUUGAGUCAUGCAUACCCUUUGGGUUAUUUCUGG
RNAcentral lists this small RNA (1294 nucleotides) under Pan troglodytes (chimpanzee). RNAcentral describes it as "retained intron". The record is from RNAcentral. Lineage: Eukaryota; Metazoa; Chordata; Mammalia; Primates; Hominidae.